Quercus robur (English oak) is the source of this 2667-nucleotide long non-coding RNA. RefSeq lists it as uncharacterized. Lineage: Eukaryota; Viridiplantae; Streptophyta; Magnoliopsida; Fagales; Fagaceae. The record is from RefSeq and is a predicted model, not a curated record. The transcript has 5 exons.
AUUCCUCUUGUCCCAAAGUCCCACUUAACUUAUGGGUAUUGUGGGUGGAUUGGUUAAGAUCUUCUGCUCUUCACUGAACCAUAGAAUAUUGAAUUUGAUACCAACUUCUGCAAAAAUUGGCUGGUUCCUUCUCAGGUGAUUUUUCUAAAUUAAGUUCUAAUUUUCCAAUAAAUUUCUGCCGAUUCUGAAUUUCUAAUGAUAUCAUUCAAUCUGCCACCUUAUCUAAGCCUACAGUUUUACCAGUCCACAAAUUAAAUUCAUAUACAAACUGAAGCACAAUUAUUCUUAUGAUAAUCACCCAUUUUGGUUAUAGAAUUAAUUAUUCUUGAGAAGUUCUGAGAAAUUUGGUAUGUUACAGACACUACACUUCAAAUUAUCUUGAGUUUCUUCGGUUUAUGAAUCUUUGUUUCAUGGUUGAAAACGUUGUUGUUGUUUUCCUAUUAUAGGAUGGUUUUUGCUUUGAAUGUCAUUGGAGUAAUCCCAGAUGAACUAUGGACUUUGAAUUUCUUGUUCAAUCUCUUUGGGAUGGCUCUUCGCAAGCGGAAUUGUUUCAUCAUUGGAACCAAAUUAGGGUAUUUUUGUUGGAACAAAUGGAGAUAUUUGGAUGACCAGUUUGAAGUUUGAACAAUUCGGGAAUUGUAAGGUAACACCAGCUCGGAAAUAAUGUUGAGUGAACAGAAAAUUGUGGAUUUUUUAAACAGGUAGAGGCUUAUUUUCAUUAGUUCAAGUGUAGUAGUGCCAGACUGCCAGGUAUUAACUAGCUUUAUCCCUUUUUCAUUGCUACUUCUUGCUGCUUCAUAUUGGUAAUAUGGUUCCAGGAAGAAUCUGAAACUGGACAUAAAAACAUGGGUUUGUAUCUAUUGAUUCUACUCUAAGUAAACUUUGAGAUUUCAGUUUUAAGUUUUAAAUUUUUUUUAAAAAGUUUUUUUUAUUCACUUUGGUUUUUCUUAUACAGUCAAACUGAGAUGGGUGAAAGGAAAAAAACAAAAAAAAAUUUCUUAUGGAUUUUAUGAGAUGUAUACAUGUUGAUUGUUGAUUGUGAUGAAUAGAACUGAGAAGGAAAAAAGACACUAUUUAGGAGCCAUUGAGAGUAGGGAAGAAGCCUAAAAUUUGCUUCUAAUGCUGCUGCAUUUGGGUUAAUCAAAAGUUAUGUAGACAUGUGCAUGCAUUUAUAUGUGCUGUGUUUCUUUUGGAGAUUUUACAUUUUUGAGUUACUUAAGUAAACAAUAUAUGGGUUUUUUUUUUUUUUUUUGGUUCUGUGUAUGCGUCUUUUAAUGUGCUAUGUGUUCCCAUUUUUGGUAUUAUUCAGUUUUGAGAGAUGGGUGUAAAAUUGUGUUUAUGAAACCGCAAUACAAAGUGCACUGUAUUAAACAAAAUCAUUGCAGGUAUGUUAGCUUUCAAGAAUGAUUGUUUUGGUAUUUUAUCUUUAAUUCUUACUUAUCAAAUUGAUACUAGAGUAUCUAAAUGAAGGAUUUACACUUGAUCCACUGGGAUCAAAUUCCAACAUGCAAGUGAUUCUGCUACUAAUAAAAGGCCGGACAGUUUGUAAAAUGCAUUUGAUUCUUUUUACCCAAUUUUGUAGUCUAACUUGCAAAUAAUUCUAAUUGAAAAGCUUCACAGUUUGUAACUUAAUUUGGAUCCUAUUGUUUUUAGUAGCUUUCUCGUGAAUUAUAUAAGUUUGCGACUAGUAAAUAAUAUAAUAAUAAAAAAGUGACCUUUUUGUUUUCCUGCUUCUAGAAUUUUAUUGUUGUAUUCAUUUGAAUAAGCCUACUUUUAUUCAGAACAGGAAGUGCAUGUAUAACUUUCUAGGCAAUGUAAAGAAAAGUUUAAUAUAACAUGAUUUUUUUUUCACUAAAUAUAAAAUUUUAUAAUUAUGGUAAUUAUAUUAAUAAUAGGCAUUUAUUAUGAGUAUGUUUGUAUAUGGAAUUAUAUAUUCUACAAUUCAAAGAAAAAAAUAAAAAAGUAAAACUUAGGCACACUUCCUUAGUUCCAAUAUAUUAGGUUCUCCAAUUAAAUUAACAACUUGAUUACAUUGACCAAUGUAAAACAAAUAGUGUUAUCUUUUCCAAUAACUAUUAAAUCAAUCCAGCUAUUUGUUUGGUUUUAAUUGUGAAACCUAUAUAGUUGCACAUAGGAAAUUGUACCUAAGUUUUAUCUAAAUAUAAUUAUGUUUAUAUUCAUAAUUAUGUUUCUUUCUUGGGUACGAUGUUGAACAAAAGGAUGUUAUGAUCCCAUUGCCCAUCAAUCCAAUUCUUGAUUUAUUUCCUAAGAUUUUGUCCACCAACUCCUUUAUGUGGAGCCAGCUGCUCUCACCUUCAUCGUUGUCCUUUAUCUCUAACCAGGCUACAGAUCCUUCCUGCAAUCUUGUUAGUGAGCCUUAUUGCUCUUAUUGGGUAAGUACUCUUCCAUUUCAUCUUUGUGACUUUCAUUGCUCUUUUGCCCUUGCAUGUCUUCUUUCAUUGCUUUUCUGCCCUUGCAUGUCUUCAUGAAUCUUGCACUUUCAACGAGGCUUCUUAUAACCCAUUAUGGCAGUAAGCUAUGAACGAAGAGUUGGACGCACUGCAUAAAACAUAGACUUGGGACUUGGUUGAUCUCCCAACUGAAAAAUCUACUAUAAGUUCACUACAAAACACGCGGGUCUUAGGUUGUGUUUGUAAAAAUGCGGCU